GUGGUCCAGUGGUAGAAUUCUUGCCUUCUAUGCAGGAGAUGCAGGAGACCCAGGUUCAAUUCCUGGC
RNAcentral lists this transfer RNA (67 nucleotides) under Loxodonta africana (African savanna elephant). It matches the Rfam family "tRNA", at positions 7 to 64 of the family's 71-position model. From Rfam's summary of the family: Transfer RNA (tRNA) molecules are approximately 80 nucleotides in length. Lineage: Eukaryota; Metazoa; Chordata; Mammalia; Proboscidea; Elephantidae. The record is from Rfam by way of RNAcentral.